Molecule: long non-coding RNA, 602 nt
Organism: Beta vulgaris subsp. vulgaris (sugar beet)
Lineage: Eukaryota; Viridiplantae; Streptophyta; Magnoliopsida; Caryophyllales; Amaranthaceae
Exons: 2
Source: RefSeq, a predicted model, not a curated record
UUUUGUCUGAUGCGUGCAGUAGCUAUAUAGAAAAAAAAAUGGAACUUUAGUUCCUUAUGAAAUUCAACUAUUGGUUUUAAAAAGAGAAACAAAAAAAGAAAAAGAAAAAAGAGGAUGCUAUAAUAGUGCAGCAAGUCACGUGAGUUGUGACUUUGCUGUCACUCAUUAUGCAAAAUUGUGAUUUUUGUUGGGUAAAUUCCUUUGGCAGAUUCACGGUUUUUUUUUUGGUAAACUUUUUUUAAAAUUUUCUUCCUUCUUUUGUUUUCAAAAUUGUUUAUUAUUAGUUUUGUAAACUUUGGUUAAUUAUUUUUCGGGAUAUUAUAUUAAUUGACUAACUUUAGGUAAUAUUAUUUGUUGUAGACGGAAACUUCGUAGGAGGCGAAUUUUAGUUGAUAUUGCUAUAUCUGGGAAGCGUUUGAGGUUGGUGAAAGGGACUACGUUGCAGGAAUGAGUGAAUUUAUAGUUUUUAAGUUCACCUAGUUUAAUAAACACUACAGUACUGCCAUUUGAGAUUGUUUAGUUUUGUUUUGGUAUAAAGUAGACAACUUAGUUUGGUUUAUUUUGAUACUUUGGUUUGUGAGUAAAAUUUUUAUUUCUAAUAA